This 1326-nucleotide long non-coding RNA is filed under the name Callithrix jacchus (white-tufted-ear marmoset). RNAcentral describes it as "lncRNA (ENSCJAG00000076021.1)". Lineage: Eukaryota; Metazoa; Chordata; Mammalia; Primates; Cebidae. The record is from RNAcentral.
GAGUAUCUGGGACUACAGGUGCACAGCACCACGCCUGGCUAAUUUUCAUAUUUUUAGUAGAGGCAGGGUUUUACCAUGUUGGCAAGGCUUGUCUCAAACUCCUGAUCUCAAAUGAUCCACCCACCUCAGCAUCCCAAAUUUCUGGGAUUAUAGGCAUGAGCCAUCACAGCCUUCACCAACAUUUUUACCUGACUUAAUAGUAAAGCCUGAGCCAGAUGUGGUGGCUCAUGUCUAUAAUCCAAGCGCUUUGAGAGGCUGAGGUGGGUGGAUAGCUUGAGCCGAGGAGUUAGAGGCCAGCUUUGGCACCAUGGCAAAACCCCAUUUAUGAAAAAUACAAAAAUGAGCUAUGCAAGCUUGCAUGCACCCAUAGUCCCAGAUAUUAAUACUUGGGAGUCUGAGAUGGGGGAUGGUUUGAGCCCUGGAGGUGGAGGUUGCAGUGAGCUGUGAUUAUACAACAGCCUGGAUCAUAGAGUGAGACUGACUCAAAAGAAAAAAAAAAAAGUUGUAAAGCCCAAGUCUCAUCAUAUAUACUUUUCUUUUAACCUUUCCAAUUAAGUUUUCAAUUCUGAAAAGCAUGAGCCUAGAGGUCACUUAACAUAAUUCCCCUGCCUUUCAGGAUUCGGCAAAACUUGUGAAAUAGAAGUUGUCUUUUGAAUUUAAAAUUCAGUCAGAUGGCAAUGAUUGUUCAUUAAACGCAAAUACAAAUUACAUGCCUUCAGAGCAAAUACAAAUUACAUGCCUUCAGAGCAAUUUCCUUACCUUCGCUACUCCUCUUUACUUUCUAACUCCCAAAGAAUGUGGCCGUCUUGAAGGGUAAUUGCUCUUCUCCAUCCCUCAAAUUCUUUUUUUAAAAUUCCCUCUUUGGGAAAUCUACUCCUCAGCUUCCUAACAAUUGUGACUGGAAAUAAAGCCCAGUUUAUCUAUCCUGGUUUUGAAAGAGAAAAUAAAAGAAAAAUAAGGGAAAAAUAUUUUCCUGAAGAAAUAAUAGCAAAACAUUUUUCAAAUUUGAUGAAACUAAAACAGAGAUCCCAAAAGCCCAUUUAUUUACAAGACAAAAAGACAAACUAUAAAAGUCACACCAUAACCAAAUUGCUUAAAACUAAUGAAUAAACAAAUAGAGAAAAAAAAAGACAUUACUUGCAGAACUUAAGAGUAACAAUUAAGAACAUAAGCAGCAAUGCAAAACAUAGCACAAUGUAAUGACCUUUUUAAAGCACUGAUAAAAGGAUAUAUCCAUCAAAAAUUAAAGAAAAAUGAAGACGUUUUCAUGCAAACAAAAUGAAGCAAGUACCACCAAAGCUUUGCUACAAGACUUAUUAAAGGAAG